AUGCCACACUCACCUAGCUUCCGGGCCGGGCUCCGCGUUCCUUCCCUCCCUCCCUCCUCCUCUGCCUUCUCGCAUCUUCCUUCCUCCUCUUUCCCUCCCUCGCUUUCUUUCUUUCCUUCCUCCUCCUCUUCCCCGGCGGCCCCUCCCUUCUUCCCUCCUCCCUCGCUCGCCUCCCUUUCUGGGGAUGGGAGCCCCGCCCACAUCCUCCCCUCCAGCCUCCCGACCUCGCCUAGCAGGCCCGGGUCCCGGAAGCCCAGGCAGCGCCCGAGUCCGCAGCUGCCGUCCGAGCUGGGACGCCGAUGCCUCCACCUCUGGGAAGCGGCUGGGGCUCACCUGGGGACCACGUGCGGAGUGUGCGGGAACAGUGUGACCUAAACAAGAACAUACUAUAACUGUAGGAUGAGUGACACUUGGAAGCAGAGGCAGAGUGCUACAUGGACACCUGACUGUACCAAAUGGUUAUUGUGGUUUCCCAAUCAGGUGCCAAUUGCGGAAUACCAGCUAAUAUUCUACCCUGAAUUCAUGCUAAAAGCUUUCCAGUCUUUCUCAAGGAAACCUGUCCAAAGGGAUAUGUGAUUCAAGGAAUUGUUACUGUAUAAGUAAAACUUGGAUGUUUUUACUAAUAAUCCACAUAUUUCACAGCCCUUUGGUGGAGAGCCUUUUUCAUUAAUGUUCUGUUCAAGAAUAAUUGCA
This 693-nucleotide long non-coding RNA is filed under the name Piliocolobus tephrosceles (Ugandan red Colobus). Its description in RNAcentral is "lncRNA (ENSPTEG00000038635.1)". Lineage: Eukaryota; Metazoa; Chordata; Mammalia; Primates; Cercopithecidae. The record is from RNAcentral.